UUUAUGGAGAGUUUGAUCCUGGCUCAGGAUGAACGCUGGCGGCGUGCCUAAUACAUGCAAGUCGAGCGAACAGAUGAGAAGCUUGCUUCUCUGAUGUUAGCGGCGGACGGGUGAGUAACACGUGGGUAACCUACCUAUAAGACUGGGAUAACUCCGGGAAACCGGGGCUAAUACCGGAUAAUAUUUUGAACCGCAUGGUUCGAUAGUGAAAGACGGUUUCGGCUGUCACUUAUAGAUGGACCCGCGCCGUAUUAGCUAGUUGGUAAGGUAACGGCUUACCAAGGCGACGAUACGUAGCCGACCUGAGAGGGUGAUCGGCCACACUGGAACUGAGACACGGUCCAGACUCCUACGGGAGGCAGCAGUAGGGAAUCUUCCGCAAUGGGCGAAAGCCUGACGGAGCAACGCCGCGUGAGUGAUGAAGGUCUUCGGAUCGUAAAACUCUGUUGUUAGGGAAGAACAAAUUUGUUAGUAACUGAACAAGUCUUGACGGUACCUAACCAGAAAGCCACGGCUAACUACGUGCCAGCAGCCGCGGUAAUACGUAGGUGGCAAGCGUUAUCCGGAAUUAUUGGGCGUAAAGCGCGCGUAGGCGGUUUCUUAAGUCUGAUGUGAAAGCCCACGGCUCAACCGUGGAGGGUCAUUGGAAACUGGGAAACUUGAGUGCAGAAGAGGAGAGUGGAAUUCCAUGUGUAGCGGUGAAAUGCGCAGAGAUAUGGAGGAACACCAGUGGCGAAGGCGGCUCUCUGGUCUGUAACUGACGCUGAUGUGCGAAAGCGUGGGGAUCAAACAGGAUUAGAUACCCUGGUAGUCCACGCC
RNAcentral lists this ribosomal RNA (819 nucleotides) under Salmonella sp. 3DZ2-4SM. Its description in RNAcentral is "bacterial SSU rRNA". It matches the Rfam family "Bacterial small subunit ribosomal RNA", at positions 1 to 801 of the family's 1533-position model. The record is from RNAcentral. Lineage: Bacteria; Pseudomonadati; Pseudomonadota; Gammaproteobacteria; Enterobacterales; Enterobacteriaceae.